Molecule: non-coding RNA, 4365 nt
Organism: Ictidomys tridecemlineatus (thirteen-lined ground squirrel)
Lineage: Eukaryota; Metazoa; Chordata; Mammalia; Rodentia; Sciuridae
Source: RefSeq, a predicted model, not a curated record
UCCAGAGCGCGGCUCUGGCGGGGAUCGCCUUCCAGACCCACGUGCGGCUCUCUGACUUAUUUAUUGUGGCCCGGGCUGGCGACAUGGUAUCGAUACCUGACUCCCAGGGCCGGCGCCCCAGAGCUGGCCUCCGGAACAGCACCCCCUCCCCAAGCCGCAGUCACUGACCACUGUCCCCUCCUGGCCCAAGACUGCGCCCAGGGAGCCGCCGCCUGCCUUCUCUGAUACCUGGCCGGCAGGACGGUCCUACCAGCAGGCCAGGGAGCCCUUCAGGCCCGCGGCACACAGGGCCCAGGACAGGACCUGCCUGCAGGGCUCAUCCAAGGAGCAGGGCCAUCUGCCCUCCCCUGGCUCCGCUUCUACCGAGUGGACCCGGCCCUGCUUCAGUGCCCAGGUCCUCACUGGAUUUUCUGAGCUUGGACCGGCUUCAAACUGAUUGAAGACACCUAGAGCUUGUAUGUUCGGCUGAGCCUCCUUUUAAGCCUCUCCAAAUUUUUUCAGAAAAUACCUGAGUAGAAAAAAGUGAGUCACCUGUCCUACUCAAAAUUCCCCUCCUCCUGGAAAAGCAGCUGUGGUCGGCAUGGUUCAUGGAAAUUCAAUAUUCCAAAACCCUGAUCCCCGCCUUCCAUUGUAAGUGAUCCAGCCCUCGGAUAAAUUCCCACAGGCACCUGCAGGCUGACUGGGAGGAUGUGCUGACUUGGGAGUGUUACCUGUAAUUACAAAACACCUGGAAGUAACCAAGGGCACCUGGUUAAAUAACCCCAGAAUGUUCACUUCAUACUUUAACUUAAAACAUUUUAAUGUAAUGCUGUGUACAGUGAUACAACAUAAUCUCCAAAGUUUGCUGAAUUAAAAAUAAAAAGAGCAACAGAUACACAAUGAUCCACUAUGUUAAAAAACAGUCUAUGCCGCUGUCCAGGAAGCUACUGAAAGGAUGAACAUGAGGAAAAUUGAUGGGCAGGUGUAAACUUCUUAUUAUAUGCCAGAGAGUGAUGUUAGACUUAUUAAGUAAACAUUUUACAGUCACUUUUUCAAACUAGUUAAAGUGCAUCUCAUUACUUUGACAUUUGAUGCCCCUUCACUUUGCGUUGAUGGCGUAACCCUCUUGGAUGUAAUCGGAUCUCUGUUGGGUUAGGAGGUGUGUCCUUCAGACCUGCGAAGACUUUCCCCCUGGGAAGCUGCAGUGGGACACAUACACAUUGGAAGGGGGUGUGGAGUACACCUCUCCCUGGCCUCUACCAGGUGCCUGUGCUUCAGCUCAUGACUUCUGCUCAGUCAUGCACCUGCCCAGAGAGUGUGCACGUGUCUGCAUGGGGCAUUCCACUUGGCACAGCAAGGACGCAAGGUGGAGGCUUCUGAAAUCCUGCUGUGCAUGUAAGGAAAUGCCUGCUGCUCCUUGGUGUCCCCCAGCGCCCAGCCUGGCUGUCCCCAGUGCACCCACUGCUCAUGGACACUUCCUGUUAGGGGAGAAACUCGGGUUCUACACAGAGCAGGCCCACGAGCCAAUGGGGCACAGCAGACACCAAAUGAUGGGUCACUCGAGACCCCUAAGACUGGACAUGGUGUCACCCUGACCCCUUCACCUGGUCCCUACCAUGAGCCUUGCCCAGGAAAACCACCACCGUGAUGACCUUCCAAAAGUCUGUCCUCAGGCUUUAGCAGAGUGCCAUUUCUCCUGCCCGAAAGUCCCACUCCAAGCUGACACUGUGAAACUGCCGUGUGACAGGACCUUGGUCUAGAAGAAGGUCUAUGCUAGCCCAGCUCUGCCCCUGAACUGUUCCUGGCUGGUCAGCAACCUGGGCUCUCAGGACAGCCAUCUGACCCCUGUGGCUGCCAUGACCCUGUCCUAGCCUUUCUGAAACCUCUAUCUGUAACUGUGUGAAACGUCACGUGUGACUGCAGCGUGACGAUAUUAGAGAGCACCUGUGAUUGCCUGUCCCACAGGUGACCCUGGAAGUUUAUUGUUAUUCCGGUCCCCCGAAGUUGCUUCGGGCCUCGCCAGGUUGCUGAGGCUGGCUUUGAACUCGUGACCCUCCUGCCGCAGCCUCCCAAGCAGCUGGGACCAGGCGUGUGCUACUGUACCCGCCUAAUCUUCUUAUAAGGACACCAGUCUGCUGGAUCAGGGCCACCCUGAUGACCUCACUUUAACUUAAUCACCCUGCAAAGGCCCUGCCUCCGUGUCCAGCCACAUGCAGAGGUCCCGGGGUCAGGACACACCAGCUUGGCGGAGCCCCACGGCCCCAGAGGCUCACUGUGGUGCACGUCCUGUCUCUGCGGGGACCACGGGGGUUAUGUAAUGCCAAAGGCUCCUUAAGCUGGGACUUACAGCUCCUACCACCUCUUGGGAACAGAACCUAAAGGAACCUCAGAUCUGGAGGGAGAGAAGCCGAGGGUCAGGCCUGCUCUGCCUCUGUCCAUGCCUUCUUCAGAAAGAGCCCCGCCCUGUGAACCUGAGCGACCACAUCAGGACAGGCAGUGAUGAUGGCGUGACAGCAGUUGGCCUUUGCUGCACGUACUGCACGCACAGCACCAUGCUAAGUGCUUUUCACAUGAUCUUCCAGCGCUCAGGGAGGGAUGGUUGUUCUUCCUGGUUUUCAACUGAGGAUGCACAGAGAAGCUAGGUAACUUGCCUGAGGUCACACAGCUGGAAAAUGUCCCUUCAGCCAUGAAGUGUCUUUACUCAGUCCCUGGUAAAUAAUUUGAGUAAAAACAGAAGGGAAGGCCUACCUCCUGCUGUGCCCAGCUAAAGGCUGGCCAGGAAAGACUGGCUCCCAGUCUGAGGGGAAAGGCCUGGGCUGGGGAGUGGUCAGAGGCAGAAGCCCCUGCCUCAGAGAGGUUGGCCUGCACCGUCUCAAAGUUCAGGUGAGGCUGAGUCUGUGGGCAAGAGGGACACCUGGGCAAGUGUGUGCCCGUCCUGUCUGGGUCCCUCUUCCUGGGGACUGCACCCUCUGGCUCCUGCUCAGCCCGCUCCCUCAGCGGCCAGUCUCAACCUCACAGUCUGCCUCCCUGGCAGUGGCUUGGCCUCCAAGGACAGGCACUGGACCCCCUGCUCUCAGGUCGUGAGGCUGAGUGAGACGGGAAGGGAGUCUGAAUGGACAGCAGCUGUCCCCACCCAGGGCAGCACACCGUGGGCACUGUGGGCCCGAGAGUGGCCGGUGCUGGAAGGAGGAAGGGAAGAGGAGGAGGAAGGAGAGAGGAAGCCCCCCCAGGUCCAGCACGGGCCCACUGAGUGUGCAGCACAGCUGGACCCCCAGGAGCUGGGAUCUGGGCCUGAACUCUGCUUGGUCACCUGGCAGUGGCCUGCUGAGAGCAGCCGCUCUCAGUGCAGUCAACAAACCCUAGUUCCCAGCCUGUGUGACCGGGAGGCUGUGACGUUUCUAAAUGCACCAGAGGAGACUAGGUUUGGAUUUGCAAGAGUGGCCCUGCUGCAGAGGCCAGUGCCAUGCGACCCGCGGCUCCCAGCUGAUGCUGCCCAUGACCUUGCUGGAUCCGCACUGCGAGCGCCUGCUCCCGCCUCCUGCCCAGAGCACAGCUGGGCAGCUGCAGGGCUUGCCCUCUUGAAGCCUGGCCAGUGAGCGCCGAGUGCCUGUGGGGGUCUGCUUCCCUGCAGGCUGGUGUGCCCUUCCCGCUGCUGUGCCCCACAUCCUGCCUCCACCUUCCUGGAUGCUGGACCUGCCUGGGGGCCUGUCCCCUCUCUGGCUGAAACCCUUGCACCAAAGCCUUCCUAUGCCUGCCGUUCCCAGGGCCUGUGGCCCUCCAUCCCGAAGCCAUGAGGUAGAGACACCCGUGCACAUGUCUACACGGCAUCAGCUCCACGGUCCUCCUGGGGAGCUCCUUCCCACCGUGGCCAUCACCCUGGGAGAUUCAGCUCCUUCCACAGGGUGGGCGUGGGGGAAUCCUCCCCUUCACCUGGGGCCUGGGCUGCUCCUGUGAUGCACCAUUUGCUUUAGCCAAUGAUACCAUUCAAAAUGGUGAAAAAGAGCCAGGCUUGGUGGUGCACACCUGUGAUCUCAGCAACUCAGGAGGCUGAGGCAGGAGGAUCCCAAGUUCAAGGCCAGCCUCAGCAACUUGGCUAGAUCCUGCCUCAAAAUUUAAAAAAAAAUUAACAAGUGGAGGUGAGGCUCGCUCUGCCUGGUCCGGAUCCAACAGGAGGCAAGCCCAGGUGUGCGGGGAGCACCUCGUUGGCAGAGGACAGCGAGGACAGACUGCGGGAUCCCAGACCUCGCUGAGCCACGGUGCCUUUGUGGUUUUGCGUCAGAGAGGAUAAAUCGCAGGCCCCGGGUGGGCUUCGUUGGCUUUGUGUGCAGCUGGGCCUGAGGCUCCUUCAGCCCCGUAGUGCCCCGCCCCUGCCACCCUGCUCUCCUG